RNAcentral lists this ribosomal RNA (748 nucleotides) under uncultured bacterium. RNAcentral's name for it is "bacterial SSU rRNA". It matches the Rfam family "Bacterial small subunit ribosomal RNA", at positions 28 to 804 of the family's 1533-position model. The record is from RNAcentral.
GAUGACCUUUGGCGGCGUGCCUAACACAUGCAAGUCGAGCGAUUCUCUUCGGAGAAGAGCGGCGGACGGGUGAGUAACGCGUGGGUAACCUGCCCUGUACACACGGAUAACAUACCGAAAGGUAUGCUAAUACGAGAUAAUAUGCUUUUAUCGCAUGGUAGAAGUAUCAAAGCUUUUGCGGUACAGGAUGGACCCGCGUCUGAUUAGCUAGUUGGUAAGGUAACGGCUUACCAAGGCGACGAUCAGUAGCCGACCUGAGAGGGUGAUCGGCCACAUUGGAACUGAGACACGGUCCAAACUCCUACGGGAGGCAGCAGUGGGGAAUAUUGCACAAUGGGCGAAAGCCUGAUGCAGCAACGCCGCGUGAGCGAUGAAGGCCUUCGGGUCGUAAAGCUCUGUCCUCAAGGAAGAUAAUGACGGUACUUGAGGAGGAAGCCCCGGCUAACUACGUGCCAGCAGCCGCGGUAAUACGUAGGGGGCUAGCGUUAUCCGGAAUUACUGGGCGUAAAGGGUGCGUAGGUGGUUUCUUAAGUCAGAGGUGAAAGGCUACGGCUCAACCGUAGUAAGCCUUUGAAACUGGGAAACUUGAGUGCAGGAGAGGAGAGUGGAAUUCCUAGUGUAGCGGUGAAAUGCGUAGAUAUUAGGAGGAACACCAGUUGCGAAGGCGGCUCUCUGGACUGUAACUGACACUGAGGCACGAAAGCGUGGGGAGCAAACAGGAUUAGAUACCCUGGUAGUCCACGCCGUA